AGAGUUUGAUUCUGGCUCAGAACGAACGCUGGUGGCGUGUCUUAUACAUGCAAGUCGAGCGAGGCAGCAAUGCCGAGCGGCGAACGGGUGAGUAACGCGUAAGCAAUCUCGCCCCAUAUCAGGAAAUACCCCGUGCCAACGCGCGGUUAAUGUCCAGGAGAGUGGCCUUCUGCAUGGAGGGUUGACUAGAGAUUUAUCGGUAUGGGAUGAGCUUGCGUCCGAUUAGCUAGUUGGCGGGGCAACGGCCCACCAAGGCGACGAUCGGUAGCCGGCCUGAGAGGGUGAUCGGCCACAUUGGGACUGAGAUACCGGCCCAGACUCCUACGGGAGGCAGCAGUAGGGAAUAUUGCACAAUGGGGGAAACCCUGAUGCAGCAACGCCACGUGUUAGGGAAGAAGCAUUUCGGUGUGUAAACCACUGUCAUGAGGGAAUAAGGCCCGCCUUCGGGCGGGAUUGAAUGUACCUUGAGAGGAAGCACCGGCAAACUUCGUGCCAGCAGCGGC
This 503-nucleotide ribosomal RNA is filed under the name uncultured bacterium. Its description in RNAcentral is "bacterial SSU rRNA". It matches the Rfam family "Bacterial small subunit ribosomal RNA", at positions 8 to 518 of the family's 1533-position model. The record is from RNAcentral.